Molecule: ribosomal RNA, 405 nt
Filed under: uncultured dinoflagellate
Lineage: Eukaryota; Dinophyceae
Description: partial small subunit ribosomal RNA
Rfam family: Eukaryotic small subunit ribosomal RNA
Source: RNAcentral
GCUUGUCUCAAAGAUUAAGCCAUGCAUGUCUAAGUAUAAACUGCUUAUACUGUGAAACUGCGAAUGGCUCAUUAAAUCAGUUAUAGUUUAUUUGAUGGUACCUACUACUCGGAUAACCGUAGUAAUUCUAGAGCUAAUACAUGCGUAAAAUCCCGACUCUCGCGGGGAGGGAUGUAUUUAUUAGAUAAAAAACCAAUGCGGGGCAACCCGGUUUUGUGGUGAAUCAUAGUAACUUUUCGGAUCGCAUAGCUUCACGCUGGCGAUAGUUCAUUCAAAUUUCUGCCCUAUCAGCUUUCGACGGUAGUGUAGUGGACUACCGUGGCGUUAACGGGUGACGGAGAAUUAGGGUUCGAUUCCGGAGAGGGAGCCUGAGAAACGGCUACCACAUCCAAGGAAGGCAGCAGG